This 496-nucleotide ribosomal RNA is filed under the name uncultured bacterium. Its description in RNAcentral is "bacterial SSU rRNA". It matches the Rfam family "Bacterial small subunit ribosomal RNA", at positions 29 to 518 of the family's 1533-position model. The record is from RNAcentral.
AUGAACGCUAGCGACAGGCCUAACACAUGCAAGUCGAGGGGCAGCACAAGGAGCAAUCUGAGGUGGCGACCGGCGCACGGGUGAGUGACACGUAUGCAACCUGCCUGUAAGCGGGGAAUAACCCGUUGAAAGACGGACUAAUACCGCAUAAUACUAAAUUACUGCAUGGUAAUUUAUUUAAACAUUUAUGGCUUACAGAUGGGCAUGCGCAUGAUUAGCUAGUUGGAGAGGUAACGGCUCCCCAAGGCAACGAUCAUUAGGGGUUCUGAGAGGAAGGUCCCCCACACUGGUACUGAGACACGGACCAGACUCCUACGGGAGGCAGCAGUGAGGAAUAUUGGUCAAUGGACGAGAGUCUGAACCAGCCAAGUCGCGUGCAGGAAGAAUGUUCCCUAUGGAUUGUAAACUGCUUUUGCAGGGGAAUAAAGUGCAUCACGUGUGAUGUUUUGUAUGUACUCUGCGAAUAAGGAUCGGCUAACUCCGUGCCAGCCGCGGC